RNAcentral lists this unclassified non-coding RNA (377 nucleotides) under uncultured Lysobacteraceae bacterium. RNAcentral's name for it is "uncultured Xanthomonadaceae bacterium contains 16S-23S intergenic spacer region". Lineage: Bacteria; Pseudomonadati; Pseudomonadota; Gammaproteobacteria; Lysobacterales; Lysobacteraceae. The record is from RNAcentral.
UCCGGUUUGUCACCGGCGGUCUCCUUAGAGUUCCCACCAUUACGUGCUGGUAACUAAGGACAAGGGUUGCGCUCGUUACGGGACUUAACCCAACACCUCACGACACGAGCUGACGACAGCCAUGCACCACCUGUACACCGACCACAAGGGGGGCACUAUCUCUAAUGCUUUCCGGUGUAUGUCAAAGGUUGGUAAGGUUCUGCGCGUUGCUUCGAAUUAAACCACAUACUCCACCGCUUGUGCGGGCCCCCGUCAAUUCCUUUGAGUUUCAGUCUUGCGACCGUACUCCCCAGGCGGCGAACUUAACGCGUUAGCUUCGAUACUGCGUGCCAAAUUGCACCCAACAUCCAGUUCGCAUCGUUUAGGGCGUGGACUAC